AGAGUUUGAUCCUGGCUCAGGAUGAACGCUAGCGGCAGGCUUAAUACAUGCAAGUCGUGGGGCAGCAUGGGUAGCAAUACCUGAUGGCGACCGGCAAACGGGUGCGGAACACGUACGCAACCUUCCUUUAAGUGGGGGAUAGCCCAGGGAAACUUGGAUUAAUACCCCGUACGAUUGAGAUGUGGCAUCACGUUUCAAUG
This 200-nucleotide ribosomal RNA is filed under the name uncultured bacterium. Its description in RNAcentral is "partial 16S ribosomal RNA". It matches the Rfam family "Bacterial small subunit ribosomal RNA", at positions 8 to 202 of the family's 1533-position model. The record is from RNAcentral.